RNAcentral lists this transfer RNA (68 nucleotides) under Marmota monax (woodchuck). RNAcentral describes it as "tRNA.Ala". The stretch from base 5 to 65 matches the Rfam family "tRNA", at positions 6 to 65 of the family's 71-position model. From Rfam's summary of the family: Transfer RNA (tRNA) molecules are approximately 80 nucleotides in length. Their secondary structure includes four short double-helical elements and three loops (D, anti-codon, and T loops). The record is from RNAcentral. Lineage: Eukaryota; Metazoa; Chordata; Mammalia; Rodentia; Sciuridae.
GGAUUGUGGCUCAGUGAUAGAGCACUUGCCUAGCAAGUGUGAGGCACUGGGUUCAAUCCUCAGCACCA